AUAGUGAACUGCAAGAUGGAAGUACGAUAUAUAAAAAGGCAAUUUUUCAGUGAUGCCAUUUCAUGUUGUUGACAUUGCAGAAGCUUUAAAUAUGCUCCAUGCCUCCUUGGACCACGUUUCUUUUGAUUGUGAUCAACUUCCUGCCCUGUUUUUUCUCGCGGAAUCAGUUUUAUAUCGAUUGUGUUGUGAUGCAUUCAUGAAGGGAUUUUUAUAUUCAGUUGAAAUAAAGCUGCUUAAGAUUGGCUACUUGAUCUUCUUACGACUUUUUGUAUUUUUCCUGCAUGGUCACUUGGAAAGUUUCAAACAACAUUUACUUAGGCUGCAACCAUAUUUAUACGCACUUUAUUUCUCUGAAGCAUCCUACCACAAGUAUCCAAACAUCUUCUCAAAUGUGCAGUUCAUUCUGAAAACAUCGGAAAUUAUAUGUAAAAGAGAACUACAUUCUGAAACAGAAUGGGGAUGUGCAGAUGGACCGGAGACUAUAUAUUCUGAUUUGGACCCUUUUGAGUUGAACAACGGGGGCUAUGAAGUCAACCACCUGCUUUGGCACUGCGUGACUGCCUGGACUUGUGUUCAGAACAAUAGUCCUCAGCUGAGUAAAGUGCUUGACCAUCUCCUCUUCCACAAAACACAGCUUCAAACGAAAUGCUGGUUGGAUUCAGUGCUGGCUUUGCUGGUCCUGGGGGAAGCUGCUAAGUUGAACAUGGCCUGCUUGAAAACUCUGAUGGACCUAGUGAGAGAGUUCCUCUCCAGCAGCUUGUUUAUUCAGAACAAGGAAGAAAAUCAUAAGGCAUAUGACCUUUCCUGGGCCUCAGAAGUUAUCUUCACAUAUACAACAAUUAUUUCGGAAGUGUGUUUAUAUGCAGCUACCUCUUCUCUGAGGAAAACAGCUUUGAUUGGGUUCUGUGACUGUACAAGUCCACAGAAGGAGCUUGUGUUCAUGGACAAGUGGGAAGAACCCCCAGAAUUAGAGGGAACAAGCAUUUUAAGUCUUUUGAAAUAUUUCUCUUCCAAGAUCUCUGUCAAUUGUGCUAAGGUGGUCUGGAUUGGAUACUAUGGCAUAGUGUAUAACAUGGUGAAGAUGUCAUGGGAACUUCAGGGUGAUGAGGAACAGGAUGGACUUAGAAACUUGAUAUGGCAAACACUUCAAAAGAUAAAGGACUAUGAGCAAGAUCCACGAAUCCAAAGCGCACUAACUAUAGCCCACGCUGAAUUAAAUGACCCCGUUGACCCUUUUACAAGGUACAGCACAAAAGUCGCACCAAACCUAGGAGAAGAAGUUUUCUCUAAGUACAUUGGGUGGAGAGUCGCCAACACCCUCUCCAAGCUCUUCUUCCCCUCUCUUGAUACCUGUGAGCACCCUUCAAAGGAGUCAGUGGAAAUCCAUCUGCAAAGAAAGCACAGAGUCAAAACACAACAGCCAGCAAAGAAGAAAGUUCUACAUUUUGUUGUGAAUUUUUGACCCCUGCCCCAUCCUUGUCCUGUGACGCUCAUCCACUUCUGAAGAUGGAUUGAAUAAUACAGGAGAGGAGAGAGUAAACAGACAGUUUGUUUUAGCAAGAAGAGGAGGCACCCCUACAGAUUUAGGAAAUGGAAUG
This is an RNA transcript of Onychomys torridus (southern grasshopper mouse), 1598 nucleotides long. It is a transcript of the gene named transmembrane protein 232, with no coding region annotated. Lineage: Eukaryota; Metazoa; Chordata; Mammalia; Rodentia; Cricetidae. The record is from RefSeq and is a predicted model, not a curated record. The transcript is spliced from 10 exons.